UACAGGGGGUGCAAACGUUGCUCGGAAUCAUUGGGCGUAAAGCGCACGUAGGCGGUUUGUUAUGUCGGAUGUGAAAGCCCUUGGCUCAACUGAGGAAGUGCAUCCGAAACUGGCAAGCUAGAGUACUAAAGAGGGUCGCGGAAUUCCCGGUGUAGAGGUGAAAUUCGUAGAUAUCGGGAGGAACGCCGGUGGCGAAGGCGGCGACCUGGGUAGAUACUGACGCUGAGGUGCGAAAGCGUGGGGAGCAAACAGG
This 253-nucleotide ribosomal RNA is filed under the name uncultured bacterium. RNAcentral's name for it is "partial 16S ribosomal RNA". It matches the Rfam family "Bacterial small subunit ribosomal RNA", at positions 524 to 776 of the family's 1533-position model. The record is from RNAcentral.